ACCAUUUGAAAUUUUGUCACAGUUAGCAAGUUUAAAACAGUUAAAUAAAAAGAUAUGGGUCCAGUUUGUCCAUAUUUAAGAUCAAGAUUGGAUCAUCCACUUCAAUCCAUGUGCCUAUUUUUGGGAUUCAUUUCGAUAAUCUGAACUGUUUAAUAUAUAAAACUCAUCGAGUAUUAUAUUCUUGUACAAAAUUAUGUUGAUCUGAUAUCGAUAGCUAUUUGAUCGGAUCAGAUUUCUGUCAAUCGUUUAUUUUUUUACCGUCUACUUUUUUAAUACAAAUCUGAUCCGAUCAAAUAGCUAUCUAUAUCCGAUUAAUAUGAUAUUUUAUGAGAAUAUAUAACUCGACGGAUUCUACAUAUUGAUCGGUUAAAAUUAUCGAAAAGAAAUCCAAAAAAAAUCCAUGGUCUAGACUGGACUGGACGGCCCAAUCUUGAUUGAUCUCUUUUAUAUUUACCUGUUUUAAACUUGGUAGCUUUUAUGAUUGAUCCAACUGAUCAUAAUGUAAUGGAAAACAAACCACCCAAGUAGAAGAAGAGCAAGACAACGAAGAUGACACCCAAAAAGAAGCAACAUAGGCCAACGCACACAUUCUCACCGCCGCUGCCAUGACCGCUGUUCUCUGGCCUCACACGCCAAUGACGCCGAUGACCGGGUCUCCGUGCAAGAUCAGAGCAAUUUCGCAGCAAGAUCAGAGCAAUUUCGCAGAAGAAUGUUUGGUGUUUCUGAGAACGGCAGCGCUAGGGGAAAGCCUCGACAAUUCUUUUUUUUUUUUUUUUGGGCUGUGCUUUUUUAUUUUUUAUUUGUAGGGCUUUGUUGGUUUGGUUGUUUUUUGUUUUUUGGAAGGAUAGGGUGGAUAUUUCGCACCAACUCAGCUUGGUUGGAUUACUUAAGUAAUAAAAUUGACUAAUCAGUUAUGUUCCUGGUGAAAAUUUAUUAAUUUUAUAUAAUUUUAUA
This is a non-coding RNA of Camellia sinensis, 954 nucleotides long. The record is from RefSeq and is a predicted model, not a curated record. Lineage: Eukaryota; Viridiplantae; Streptophyta; Magnoliopsida; Ericales; Theaceae.